Vicugna pacos (alpaca) is the source of this 6731-nucleotide non-coding RNA. The record is from RefSeq and is a predicted model, not a curated record. Lineage: Eukaryota; Metazoa; Chordata; Mammalia; Artiodactyla; Camelidae.
UUGUUUUAUACAGGGAUCCUGGCAAAAUUACCAACAAACCCAUAAAGGACACUGAAGGCCAUUCAAUCUCCAUCUUCACUGCCAGUCCCACAGACGUUGAAGAAAUAAGCUAUGUCUCCAAAGACCGACACUCCAAAGAGCACAGUUACGCCCUAAAUCGAGGGCAGGAUUCAGUGCUUGAUACCAGCGACCCUGGUGGUGGCCAAGAUCUCCGAUGGGCGUUCACCUGUUGGAACUUCUCCCCGACAGGUCUUCGGGGAAUGAUUGAUUAGCUUCUGUGACCCUGACUUUAGAUUCCAGGACAUCCAGACACGUGGCGCCCCACCGUGGAAGACAGCUGUUCACACACUGUUUUAUAUCAAGUCAGCGCACAGGUCACCUGCAGAGAGGAGCUCCUGGCUGCGUGUUUCAGGAAGGAACCGGGAAAUGUUCUUGCAUGCCCAAGUCUGCUUUGGAUUAUUCAUUCUUAAGGGAAGAAGUCUAAAUUUCAAAGCAAAGCAGCCCUGACGUAUUUUUCCAGUAGACGGGCUUUGAAACAUUAAAGCAUAUGAAGAUGUGAUGAAUGUUCAAAUAUACAGUAAUACUGAAACCCUCGUCCAAUUCUGUGCAGAGCCAACAACAUACUUAUUUGAUUUGAAAUAAUGUAUGACAUUAGCUCAAGGACAAGAAAUUUAUCCGCAAGGGGACCAGGAGACGGCAUCCUGACCUGACCGUGGUUGCCGCGCUCUGUGUUAACGUCGGCGGCCAGACAGAGAUGCACUGGGUUCGUCAAGGGUUCCGGACUUCUGGAGAGCUUGAGAUUGAGUCUGACUUGUAAGUCAGCAUCAGCCCUCUGGGGAGGAGCCGCCUGUCCUGGAGGAGCUCACCCUGCCUGUGAGUACCGCCCCAGGUGAGGAAGCGCCGCGGCGGAGGGCCAUCUUACUGGGGAUGUCCUCGUGCUGGUUUUUAAAAGAUUCCACAUAUAAGUGAUACCACAUGGUGCCUGUCCUUCUCUCACUGGCUUAUGUCACUCAGAAUGACAGUCUCCAGGUCCUCCAUGUUGCACAAAUGGCUGUUUUUCUAAGGCACCAUUUCUCACUUUCUCUAUUCUGAAGAGAUUCACUUUCAUGAAUAGAAAGUAAAGCCGAUGAAACGAUAAGCACUCAUGACUGUCGGCUGCCCCUGGAACGUCCAGAUGAACUGGAACUCAGGGUGAAAGCCGUGUGGUGGGGAAGCCUCCUGCCCUGCGGGUUGUCAGGAUCGGAGCCCGCAAGCUCCACGGAGGUCAGGGCGUCGGGCAGAGGCGGGGACUGCAGACUGCCGUGGAGACGCUCUAUUUCACACGCUUGCCCUCUGGAAGGACUGGCAGAGGCAGUCACUUAAAUUAAACACAGGUCAUCAGACAAGAUACACAGUCUAUUCCUGGAACAGACAACUUGAGCAUGCCAGGUCCCCAUGGCCUUUUACCGAGCCUCGUCACGCUCCCCUUUACGUCCCUCUGUCAGUUCACGUUAGGGCUGGCUGUGUUUAAAAGUGGUAUUGCAUGUAUUCUGCGACCCUCUGGCUCGGAGCAAAGAAAUUGCUUUGGUUUAUUUAUGACCUACUAACCUUAACAAAACUGAAAAACUCAAUGUUCUCACAAGCCUAGGGAAGAGAGAGAAAAGCUAAAAUAAAUCUGGCCUUGAUACAAGCUGGUCCGAUGCUGCCCACACCCUUCUCCAAAAUCCCAGGGAAGUGGAUGGGAAGAUCUCUGACCCUUAACUGUCUUACUUCUUGUGACUCUUUUCAUUCAAGGAAAACUAGGCAUGGAUUCAGAUGGCUGCCACCUACUUUGAAUUCUGGAAUUAUAACAGUGUGUUCUAAAAAGAAAGACACUACACACCACGGAAAAUGUAAAGGCUCAGCGCUAUCGAAUCCCGUUGUUCCCAGCAGGACUAUUUUAUAGUCAAGUGUGUCAUGAAAAUAGAGAUGUGGAAGGCGUAGACUAGAAGGGGCAAAGUAGUGAUUGAAAGCCACGCUCGAAUUAGUGAAAUACUGUCGAACCAGCAGGUGGGGUAAAGUGUGAACCAGAAGUUACCGCAAUAUAGGGCCCUUACGUCCGUUCUCUUUUCUGACACUAGGGUACCUGCGAGCGAGAGCAAGAGCCCGACCUCCAGCUGUGGGCCGUUCACACUGCGCAGGGAUGAGCUUACUUCACUUAGAAUGAAGAUUCCCCGGGUCCAUCCAUGUUGCUGCAAAUGAACGGGGCUUUGGAAGUAGCACGUGGAGCUGCAGCAGGCCUGUGGUUGACGACUUGGCAUUUUCACCUCAGCUGGCUGCAAUCUGGCUGCUUCUAGCGUUCCUCUCCUUCACACGCACGUAACAUUGUUCUCCUGAACCUGCUCUGGGCCAGCUCACCGGCGAGCUCUGCGGUGACACGGGCAAGCUGCGCCGUCCUGCCAGCUGUCCUGCCGGAGUGCCCCUGCACGUCACUGACUGCUGGCACCCAUGCCUGUUACAAACUCCAGUCUCCGCUGACUUUGUGAGCCUAGUCGCAUGUGAACUUCUUUCCGUCUUUAUAACGGUGACGUCCUGUUUUUCAGAGCCCCAUCUUAUCCUGCCUAACCUAGUACGCCUGGUUUCUUUGUGAGACACGUCGUGAUUGGUUUUCAGGGUUUUUUUCUUCCCACGCUUUACAGUCUUUGAAGGGAUCUCAGGCACUGGAUGAUGCUGGCCUCUGCUUAGAGGCUGCUGAUUGUCAAGUCUCUCUCUCCAAUCAAGACGGCCCGAAUCCGCGUCCCUAACUGCCGCCUGCUCUCCCCGCAGACCCUUGCCCGUGCUGAAAUCAUCUCACGCUCCUGCUCUUGCCUUCCUGCACAUGUAAUCACAAAGCCCUUGAAGAUGCUUACGUCUCGCUAGCCCACUGAGAUUGCAGUGUGUGUGUGUGUGUGUGUGUGUAUUUCUACUACCUAAUUCAGAAACUUAUAAUUCUUACUUGGACUUCUCCAGUAGUCACCUAAUUAACUUUCUGUCUACCAUCAGCCAUUUGUUCAAUAUAUUUUCUCCACAGUAUUUAAAAAAUAACAACUUAAAAACUUAAUCAUGUUGUGGAACUCUUUAAUGCACUCUGAGUAAAAUCUCCUAAUAUGUUUAAUAGAUCAAUUGUCCUGGUGGGAAAUUUGAGUAUUAGCUAAAUGCAGGAAAAUGAAAUUUUACCUGGAACUUCACAGAAUCCCUGGAGUUUUAUUUCAGUAUAUUAAGGAGCUAAUUGCAACUUUAAAAUUUUUUCUAAAGUGAGUGUCGUGGAAGAUUUACUCAUCCUGAAAUGGUGAAGAACUUUUUAAGUAUUAACAUGAUCAAAGAAGAAAGAAAAAAGAAAACAAAAUCAUGGGAAGACUUGACCACUUAAACUUCAGUCUGUAGCAUGUCAAAAACAUACAGUGAAAGGGCAGCCGGCCAAAUGGAAAAUAAUAUGAGAAAUAAAGAAGACAAGUGAUUAAUAUGCUUAGUCGAUACAAUUUUUAGAGAUAUAUUCUUAAUACAGAAAAAGCAAUAAGGAAAAAUUAACACCUCAAGAGAUAAAUGAACAGUGAAUCUGAACAGAGAAGUCACAAAAGAAAUGCAAAUAAAUCAGGUAAAUUUUACAUAAAUGAUGUAAAAUUCUGCUUCACUGAAGAAAUUCAAAUUUAAAACAGUGAGAUGUGCUUUAUCUUUAGUAAAGCUAGCUGAGGAAGAAAAGGUCACAGAAGCCAGAAAAGCCGAAAUGAAUUUCCUGACACCGUGUAAUGUAGGGUGAUCUUUGGUUUUCUGCUUUCACUCCUUCUCAGCUUGGUCUUCCUGCCUCUUCUGAACUCGUGGCCUCCCCGCGACGGCGACUGGACCAGGGGCCCGAGGGAGACUCUCCCGUGGGCUCGGCGGGGGCUUUUGUACUUGCCCCUCAGGAGUUUGAGCUAGAUGGUCAGGAGGCAGUCGGUGUGUGCAAGACCUGCGGCAUCUCGAAGGUGUUGGCAGAUUCACACUUUGCUUUUUCCACACGUGGGGCCGGUGAGUCGGAAGCAGGCGGUGCUUCGGGGAGAGCAGCAGCGGGAGGCGCCGUGCGGCUCCUGCUCCCUGCAAGACGGAGGGGACGGCUUGCCUCCGUGACACUCCGGGUCCAGCAUUCGUUUUCUCAGCUGUCUUUGCUGGUUUUUGAUGGCUUUUAGAUACAAGGUGACUGAAGCCUAGAAAUUAACCCCAGUUUAUUUGUCAGCUGAGACUGGUACCCAUUCUUCAUCUCAGAACCAUACAACGUUCAUGAGACUGUGAACUGAUGUCAGCUUUGUGGAAGCAGCUUGGCACUAUCUAGCGGGACUUUUAAAUGCUUGGAUACUUUGAAUCAAUGGUUCUCACUCUGGGAUUCUCUGCAGCGUAUGUACGUGUGAGGAUAGUUAAAGCAACGUUACUUUAAAAAAUUUAAUGGUGGAAGCAAGCUGCAGGCCCAGCAAUGGGGAAUGGGGCCAUGAGCUGUGUCAGGAAUGUGACAGAAAAUAGUAAUAACCCAAGAAUGUUUUAAUAAUGGAGAGCCUGCUUGUAAUGAAGUAAAACUCAGACAGAGGAUUAAACCUCAGCCUCCUAGAGGAGCAGCUAUGGCGAAAUUCAUUAACCUCCCUAAGCCUACAUUUUCCUAACGACAUAAUUGGUAUAGUAUUUCUUGUCUGAUAACACUUUCUGAGGAUGAAUGAAGUCAUUUAUGCAAUGACGUUAGCUCAGUGCCUGACACUUAAUAAAUGUUUAGUAGUAGCAGCAGUAAACGCUGUCCCAUGCCUGAUAAGACCCGCUAUGUAGAAGUCAUUCUUUUCAUUUCACUCUCGGUCCUGGAAUUUUGGUCAUUUUUCUUCUCCUAUGCAUUAUGCAUUCUAUCUUUUUUCCUUUUUCCCUCUUUUUUUUUUUUUUUUGCUUUGUUUGUCUUUGAUUUGUUUCAAGCUGACAACAUGUGCCUCUUUACUAUCCUAAGAGAAUCUAGGUACUGGUUCAAAAAAAAUGACACCAUAAAUUAUACUUAACUUUUGGCCAAUUGUAAAAAGAAAUAAAGUUAAAUAGAAUUAUCACUUUCCUUGUUGAAGUCACACAGUGACCUAGCUAUACUGUCUCUCCAUCCUUACAGGAGCCAUUUGAGGAGGGAAAUAUCAUUUUGGAGAGUUUUGAAGUUGGGGACAAGACGAUCAGGAUUAAGUCACGUGCCUUCUGUCAUAACUGGCAGAGGGGUGGUUCUAAACUCUACUAUCUAAUUUAUAUUCAAAUUUUGAGAAUCUAGCCAUUAAUUAAUAACUAUUUCUGAGGAAAGAAAGAACAGGAUAUCCCUUUCAAAAUAAUAGUUCAGCCCAAACUAAGUUUCACUGGAAUUUAAGUGAAAUAUAAAGUCAUAGUCUGAGAAUAAGACUCCAUAUUUGGAAGGAUGACACUGUAAUUUAAGUGAUUUGAGACCUGCUUUUUCUUGUUCAAUAGAGAAAGUUACUUGUUUUGGUUGCUGCUCCAAUCUGGGCCCAAGAGCAAUAUGAAACAAUGAUCAGAGUUCAACGAAUAUCAGUUGAAUGAAUGAGUCAUAAACGUAUCUACUCAGCAAGCAAUGCCUUUAAUGACUGACUCAUGGUAAUACAAUGCUGCACGCCAGAUGCUAUGAGUCAAAGUUGAGUCUUAGUUAAAAUGUAGUUUUGAAAAAAAAAACUACCUAUACAACAGUGGCAUUUAUUUCAAACCUCAAGCCUGGAUUCCUAACAUUCACUUAUGUAUUUACCGUACAUGAAUUUAACCACGAUGUUUCUUCCAAUCUAAUAGACCAAUAAUGGCAAGACAAACCUUCAUUGUAUAAAGUAGUAAGAGAAAAAAGAGAGAAAGAAAGAAAGGGAAAGAAAGAAAGGAAUAAAGAACACUGACCAUUACAAUUUUAAAAUGCCAUCAAUUAUAAAACACACCUCAGUUUCAGAGAUGUAAAAAUAUAAAGCAGAUGCAUCUCAGGAUCAGUGAAAUACAGUGUUUAUUUGCAGAAAUCCACCAUUAAGUGGCUGCAUUUCUUCUAUUAAACGAUGGACAUAAUUAAAGCUGAAAAGUUAAUGCAAGCAAGAAAAGAAAUGAUGGAAAGAUUUUGGGAAAUGAUUUUAAGUUUUUUUCCCACCAGGGACCACAAAUGAAAUGCUUGGUUUGAACUUUACAAGGAUUUUCAAGGGUCAUUUUAGCUACACAUGAUUUUUAUCCCAGAGGCUGACUUUGAAAUCUAACUUUCCCCUUGACCUUAAGGUAUGACCAACCCCUAGGUAUAAAUAGAGUUUUCUUAAUUUCUAAGAUUAUACAUUUUAGCUAGUAAGAAGAGCUAGCGUUGAUCUAGCAGCCAAACUUGUAUUUCUACAAAUCCUUUCUUUUACUUUCCAAGGGGCCAUCACGAUUCAGUGUAACUUUAACAGGUCUUAACCACAUUUUCCAAGUCACCUCCCCCCAUCCCUCUUCAGACAAAUUCACUCAUUCUUCCUACUCCCUCUGAGGAAACCUUCAGAGCCCUGUAAGUCACCCCUCCUCGUGCAAAUUUUUCUGGAAAAUCAACACCGAGUAAUAAUAAUAAAAGAUUCCACUAUUUUUACUGCCUGAGUCUCUCUAAGCCCUGGACAGACAGCUUGGACCCAGGCACAGAAAGCCUUAGCGAGUGGCGCCAAGUCACACAAAGCCAUUCUUAAGAUGCCUGUUCUGUGCUAUCAACCCUCCUACCUUAGGCAACCCCCUCCUGCUGGUUAAGUGCUAACACA